UCCUAUGGCCGGGCCUUGGUGAGGGAGCGCUCGCGCUCGCCGGUUUCCUGUAUCGCCGGUACGCCAACCUUGCCUUGUGCCCGGCCACCCCG
This is a non-coding RNA of Ralstonia pickettii 12J, 92 nucleotides long. The record is from Rfam. NCBI's taxonomy places the organism in Bacteria, Pseudomonadati, Pseudomonadota, Betaproteobacteria, Burkholderiales, Burkholderiaceae.